Long non-coding RNA from Marmota monax (woodchuck), 405 nucleotides. RefSeq lists it as uncharacterized. The record is from RefSeq and is a predicted model, not a curated record. Lineage: Eukaryota; Metazoa; Chordata; Mammalia; Rodentia; Sciuridae. The transcript is spliced from 2 exons.
CCUGGCAUCAUCUUCAGGAGAGAGUGAUCUGGCAGAUACCAUCUCUCCCCACCAACUUGGCAGGUGUCUGGGCCUGUGUGGGGAGGUGAGGAGUUCUCCUGGAUCAGGAAUACCGCCAUGGGCCUGGUCUCAGAGAGUCAGCUACAGGGGUAGAACCACAGUGCCACCAAGGACACCUUAUUUGUUGACCGGUGGAGCUAGUGUGCCAGUCAAUAGGGGCAGGAAAACUACAGGCCUCCUCAUCAGUAGUAUGAAGAAUACGGAGAGGCAUUGUCCUGCAGGUUCUUUGCCAGUCUGUCCUGAGACAGAGGAAGGCAAGCUUUCAAACACCUCCAUCAGUGAUCACCAGGAAAGCAUUUGUUAUUGCCAUCCUUUGAAUUCUCUAUUAUAACCUUUUAUCCAGGG